UAAAUUGGAUGGGAACUGUGUGCAGGGUC
This 29-nucleotide non-coding RNA is filed under the name Mus musculus (house mouse). The record is from RNAcentral. Lineage: Eukaryota; Metazoa; Chordata; Mammalia; Rodentia; Muridae.